This 242-nucleotide small nuclear RNA is filed under the name Mandrillus leucophaeus (drill). RNAcentral describes it as "7SK RNA (ENSMLEG00000023052.1)". The stretch from base 1 to 199 matches the Rfam family "7SK RNA". From Rfam's summary of the family: 7SK was discovered as an abundant small nuclear RNA in the mid-70s but a possible function has only recently been suggested. Two independent studies have found that 7SK RNA binds the CDK9/cyclin T complex (known as elongation factor P-TEFb). P-TEFb activates transcription by phosphorylating the C-terminal domain of RNA polymerase II. The record is from RNAcentral. Lineage: Eukaryota; Metazoa; Chordata; Mammalia; Primates; Cercopithecidae.
AGAGUGAAGAUGAUCCUACUGGGACACCAGGCACCCCAGUGAUGGCCUGGGUUGAUUUUACUGAUCGAAUCAGCUGAGUAGGUGUCUACCUCCCUCCUCACCUUUCUACAUGUGUCCUUCCUGGGGCUGCAUGUCAAGUCAGAGAGAAGAAGAGCCUUCCCAGAUAGAGCAUUGUUCUUUGACCAAAGGUGUGUGAUGACUUUGUCUGUUAUCUGGCAUUCUAAGAGAAUAUGGUGUUCUGG